RNAcentral lists this long non-coding RNA (1343 nucleotides) under Trifolium pratense (red clover). RNAcentral's name for it is "long non-coding RNA (TPRA_LNC003527)". The record is from RNAcentral. Lineage: Eukaryota; Viridiplantae; Streptophyta; Magnoliopsida; Fabales; Fabaceae.
CAUAAAUUCGUCAAUUCAUAAAAAGCAUUACACACAGAAAUAACUGAAUAACAAUAAUAUUAAAAAGGUCCCAAGGAUCCUCAACAAUUUACAUGGUUCAAAUCAAUUCAAGGAAGAUCAUCUACUAGUUUUAAUCAAUAGAGAUUUAGCUACACAUGCUAAACAUAACAAUUAAAUUCUGAAAAUUAUACAUAAUUUAAUUGUGAAAAGCACCUUAGAAUAAAACUCCCAAUGGUUCAAUUGCUGCUUCUCUCGGUGACGGCGUGAAACUCUCUCCCCAAGUUUGUGUAUCUUCUCUAGGUUAAAAAUAAGGCUUUUAUAUAUGCUUUUUCCCAAAGACAAUCACGUGCAAUUAAAAGGGAAGGGAUCCAGCCAUUAGUGGACUGACACAUCAUCAAGGAAUAAAGUAAAAGUUGAACGUGGCACUGUAGCACGCAUGUAUAUUAAAGAAAGGCUGGUCACGUGUGACGAUGCAUGCUGACGUCAUGUGCGUUGUAAGCCAAAAUCGUGCCACGAUCCGAAUAGCACAGGGACGCGAAAAUUACAGGGGCUGAAGGCGUGUGAAUGUUUAAAACUUUGGAAAUUUUCUAAGUGUUUUUCCUCUUUUUUGCCUUUUGUCUUCAAACAUCUUGCUAUUGUAAUUUCUUCAAAUAAUCUCCUUUUUGACCAUGUAUUACUCUUAAAAAUCACUAAAAUACUAUAAAAUAAUAAUUAAAAAUACUCAAAUGACCAACUGUCAUCAUUUGCUGAGGGCUUCAACUAAUAUUAUCAUAGUAGAUUUCCUUCCUAGAUUGGUAUCCCCCAGAUUAUGUGACAUUGCACUGAACUGGAUUAACAAAUAACCUGUGUUAUUUAUGUUCAUGCACUUAAUUUAUUUUUAACUUGUCUAUUGUAUUAUGUACUGGUACGAGAUGUUGUACCAUCUUCCACAGCAUCUUUCCACCACCCUGCCAAAAUUUCAAUAGGUAAACACAACACAGACACUCUUCAUUAACUUCAUAACAAAAUAUCAAGUAAAUUUUUUUUGGUACAUUAAAAUAUCAAGUAACUUUCUCCUAGAGAAGAUCAAAUUUAUAAACUUCUAGAAAAACAUAGAUAUGAUAAAAUAAAAUAAACCCAGAAAAACGAAAAUCAACAAUUGAAACUCAGUAGACUUACUGUGUUAUGAAGAAGAUGUAUGAUGGGAUCAUAUAUGUAGACAAUUCUACAUGUUGUAAUUUUUAAUCUAAGCCAUUAGUUUGAUCUAAAUGGUUGAAAACCAUUUUUCUUGUUGUCUCAUAGGUGACGGACCUAUUUUGCUUAUUCAUGCUAGCAUUCGCCAUGAGUUAAUAUCUACGUGUGGG